Molecule: transfer RNA, 77 nt
Filed under: Erysipelotrichaceae bacterium
Lineage: Bacteria; Bacillati; Bacillota; Erysipelotrichia; Erysipelotrichales; Erysipelotrichaceae
Description: tRNA-His
Rfam family: tRNA
About the family: Transfer RNA (tRNA) molecules are approximately 80 nucleotides in length. Their secondary structure includes four short double-helical elements and three loops (D, anti-codon, and T loops).
Source: RNAcentral
GCGGUCGUGGUGAAGUCGGUUAACACACUAGAUUGUGGCUCUAGCACUCGCGGGUUCGAGUCCCGUCGAUCGCCCCA